RNAcentral lists this ribosomal RNA (358 nucleotides) under uncultured Thermus sp. Its description in RNAcentral is "bacterial SSU rRNA". It matches the Rfam family "Bacterial small subunit ribosomal RNA", at positions 1022 to 1382 of the family's 1533-position model. The record is from RNAcentral. Lineage: Bacteria; Thermotogati; Deinococcota; Deinococci; Thermales; Thermaceae.
GGGAGCCCUAGCACAGGUGCUGCAUGGCCGUCGUCAGCUCGCGCCGUGAGGUGUUGGGUUAAGUCCCGCAACGAGCGCAACCCCCGCCGUUAGUUGCCAGCGGUUCGGCCGGGCACUCUAACGGGACUGCCCGCGAAAGCGGGAGGAAGAGGGACGACGUCUGGUCAGCAUGGCCCUUACGGCCUGGGCGACACACGUGCUACAAUGCCCACUACAAAGCGAUGCCACCCGGCAACGGGGAGCUAAUCGCAAAAAGGUGGGCCCAGUUCGGAUUGGGGUCUGCAACCCGACCCCAUGAAGCCGGAAUCGCUAGUAAUCGCGGAUCAGCCAUGCCGCGGUGAAUACGUUCCCGGGCCUU